This 253-nucleotide ribosomal RNA is filed under the name uncultured bacterium. Its description in RNAcentral is "partial 16S ribosomal RNA". It matches the Rfam family "Bacterial small subunit ribosomal RNA", at positions 524 to 776 of the family's 1533-position model. The record is from RNAcentral.
UACGUAGGGUGCGAGCGUUGUCCGGAAUUAUUGGGCGUAAAGAGCUUGUAGGCGGUUUGUCGCGUCUGCUGUGAAAAUCCGGGGCUCAACCCCGGACUUGCAGUGGGUACGGGCAGGCUAGAGUGUGGUAGGGGAGACUGGAAUUCCUGGUGUAGCGGUGGAAUGCGCAGACAUCAGGAGGAACACCGAUGGCGAAGGCAGGUCUCUGGGCCACUACUGACGCUGAGAAGCGAAAGCAUGGGGAGCGAACAGG